GCCACGGUGGUCUAGCGGUUGGAACGCUGGCCUUGUAAUCCUGGGGUCUCGGGUUCGAUUCCCGGCGGUGCCC
This is a non-coding RNA of Zootermopsis nevadensis, 73 nucleotides long. Lineage: Eukaryota; Metazoa; Arthropoda; Insecta; Blattodea; Termopsidae. The record is from Rfam.